AUCAGUCCCGACCAUACGGGACCCAGCAACUGCACCUGAGCCACAGUCCCCUCAGGAGUCCUGACCUGAACUUCAUCCAGCACCUUUGUGAUGAACCAACCAAGAACCAGACCUCAUCACCCAGCGCUGGACUUCACUACGCCCUGGGUAGUGUCUGCAGACUUCUGUUUUCGGCCUCAGCAAGAUUCACCAAUUAGAAGGGCUUGUUAACAGCUGGCAAACAUCUGGGGAGAGGAACCGUGUCAGAUAAGGUGGGGAAGCUUCUCGAGGCAUCAUGUCAUCAGACAGAAGUAUACACAGAAACACAGAGGAGGAAAAUGGCAAAUAUGAAUCAAAAACAAGUACAAAGUCACUGACAAGAGAGCAGAGUCAGGGAACUGCAGGGAACUUCUUCAUGUAUACAUUUAAGCAUAUGGCUGCAAAGUCAGUACAGUGAGUGCAUUCUGUUUCCCUUUGGCAUACAUGUCACACAAACACCUUGACUGUUAAACUUACAAUUAAAGUGUAUUGGAUAUUUGGUACAUUUACGCUUCUAUCAUGUAUUAUGUUGCUGUUUAUUUCAUUGUGUCUCAUUUAUCCAUUUAACACUUGUUCGU
Acanthopagrus latus (yellowfin seabream) is the source of this 596-nucleotide long non-coding RNA. RefSeq lists it as uncharacterized. The record is from RefSeq and is a predicted model, not a curated record. NCBI's taxonomy places the organism in Eukaryota, Metazoa, Chordata, Actinopteri, Spariformes, Sparidae. The transcript has 5 exons.